Drosophila virilis is the source of this 72-nucleotide non-coding RNA. NCBI's taxonomy places the organism in Eukaryota, Metazoa, Arthropoda, Insecta, Diptera, Drosophilidae. The record is from Rfam.
GCCUCUUUAGCUCAAUGGUAGAGCACUGGUCUCGUAAACCAGGGGUCGUGAGUUCAAACCUCACAAGAGGCA